GGAUUAGAUACCCUGGUAGUCCACGCCGUAAACGAUGAGAACUAGAUGUUGGGCAGCUAAGACUGCUUAGUGUCGAAGCUAACGCGUUAAGUUCUCCGCCUGGGGAGUACGGUCGCAAGAUUAAAACUCAAAGGAAUUGACGGGGGCCCGCACAAGCGGUGGAGCAUGUGGUUUAAUUCGAUGCUACGCGAAAAACCUUACCUACUCUUGACAUCCUGGGAAUCCCUCGUAAUAAAGGGAGUGCCUUCGGGAAUCCAGUGACAGGUGCUGCAUGGCUGUCGUCAGCUCGUGCCG
This 294-nucleotide ribosomal RNA is filed under the name uncultured bacterium. RNAcentral describes it as "partial 16S ribosomal RNA". It matches the Rfam family "Bacterial small subunit ribosomal RNA", at positions 775 to 1067 of the family's 1533-position model. The record is from RNAcentral.